GUGAUACUGUUUGACUUGCAUAUGGAUGAAGUACAAUCGAAAGUGUAUUGUCGGCCGCAUGUGCGUAGACAUUACACAGAAGCUCCAUUGCCAUUGCAUGUUAAUAUUCCAUGAUUGACACUGACGCCCAAAUACCUGGGGAUCAUCCUGGAUUAAAUAGCCUGCUGAUCCACGCUGUAAACGAUGAUCACUCGCUGUUUGCGAUACACAGUAAGCGGCUAAGCGAAAGCGUUAAGUGAUCCACCUGGGGAGUACGAUCGCAAGGUUGAAACUCAAAGGAAUUGACGGGGGCCCGCACAAGCGGAGGAACAUGUGGUUUAAUUCGAUGAUACGCGAGGAACCUUACCUGGGCUUAAAUGGGGAGUGACAGCUGCUGAAAGGUGGUUUUCUUCGGACACUCUCCAAGGUGCUGCAUGGUUGUCGUCAGCUCGUGCCGUGAGGUGUCGGGUUAAGUCCCAUAACGAGCGCAA
This 470-nucleotide ribosomal RNA is filed under the name uncultured bacterium. Its description in RNAcentral is "bacterial SSU rRNA". It matches the Rfam family "Bacterial small subunit ribosomal RNA", at positions 627 to 1101 of the family's 1533-position model. The record is from RNAcentral.